AUUGAACGCUGGCGGCAUGCUUUACACAUGCAAGUCGAACGGUAACAGGUUAAGCUGACGAGUGGCGAACGGGUGAGUAAUGCAUCGGAACGUGCCCGAUCGUGGGGGAUAACGCAGCGAAAGCUGCGCUAAUACCGCAUACGAUCUGAGGAUGAAAGCGGGGGACCGUAAGGCCUCGCGCGCUCGGAGCGGCCGGUGGCAGAUUAGGUAGUUGGUGGGGUGAAGGCCCACCAAGCCGACGAUCUGUAGCUGGUCUGAGAGGACGACCAGCCACACGCGGACGGAGACACGGCCCAGACUCCUACGGGAGGCAGCAGUGGGGAAUUGUGGACAAUGGGCGAAAGCCUGAUCCAGCAAUGCGACGUGCAGGAAGAAGGCCUUCGGGUUGUAAACUGCUUUUGUACGGAGCGAAAAGGUCCUUUCUAAUACAAGGGGCUCAUGACGGUACCGUAAGAAUAAGCACCGGCUAACUACGUGCCAGCCGCCGCAGUAA
RNAcentral lists this ribosomal RNA (493 nucleotides) under uncultured bacterium. Its description in RNAcentral is "partial 16S ribosomal RNA". It matches the Rfam family "Bacterial small subunit ribosomal RNA", at positions 29 to 523 of the family's 1533-position model. The record is from RNAcentral.